GAAACUCCUAAGCCUGCUAUAUGGUACAUAUAACGUGAGGAGGCCCCAGUGUAUUCAUCUCUCUAGAUGCUGAUAGAUUGCACUGGCUUGUCCUCACGGCCGUUCUAACCAAAUCCAACUUCCCACCGAAAUUCAUGUCGAUGGUGUCAGCUCUUUAUUCCAACCAAUCCGCCAAAUAGUGGAUUUCUGUCCUCCGAGUUUUUACUCAUCACUGGUACACACCAGGGAUGUCCCCUCACCCCCUUACUUUACAUCCUAGCAUUAGAACCAUU
Pelobates cultripes (western spadefoot toad) is the source of this 272-nucleotide non-coding RNA. The record is from the annotation of a GenBank genome assembly. Lineage: Eukaryota; Metazoa; Chordata; Amphibia; Anura; Pelobatidae.